UACGUAGGGUGCAAGCGUUGUCCGGAAUUAUUGGGCGUAAAGAGCUCGUAGGCGGUUUGUCGCGUCUGCUGUGAAAACGCGAGGCUCAACCUCGCGCCUGCAGUGGGUACGGGCAGACUGGAGUGCGGUAGGGGAGAUUGGAAUUCCUGGUGUAGCGGUGGAAUGCGCAGAUAUCAGGAGGAACACCGAUGGCGAAGGCAGAUCUCUGGGCCGUUACUGACGCUGAGGAGCGAAAGCGUGGGGAGCGAUCCGG
This 253-nucleotide ribosomal RNA is filed under the name uncultured bacterium. RNAcentral's name for it is "partial 16S ribosomal RNA". It matches the Rfam family "Bacterial small subunit ribosomal RNA", at positions 524 to 776 of the family's 1533-position model. The record is from RNAcentral.